CUCUUAUCGAGAGAGGUGGAGGGAUUUGGCCCAAUGAAGCCUCGGCAACCAAUAGAAUAGAUGCCAAUAGUAUCUAAAAGAUAAAGG
RNAcentral lists this non-coding RNA (87 nucleotides) under Lysinibacillus macroides. RNAcentral's name for it is "SAM-I sequence". It matches the Rfam family "SAM riboswitch aptamer (S box leader)". From Rfam's summary of the family: The SAM riboswitch is found upstream of a number of genes which code for proteins involved in methionine or cysteine biosynthesis in Gram-positive bacteria. The SAM riboswitch acts at the level of transcription termination control. The predicted structure consists of a complex stem-loop region followed by a single stem loop terminator region. The record is from RNAcentral. Lineage: Bacteria; Bacillati; Bacillota; Bacilli; Caryophanales; Bacillaceae.